AGGCCUUUUCUGACGGUAAAGCUCGGAGGUGCGGGUAUCGAACAGGAUUAGAUACCCUGGUAGUCCGCACGGUAAACGAUGGAUGCCCGCUGUUUGCGAUAUACUGUGAGCGGCCAAGAGAAAUCGUUAAGCAUCCCACCUGGGGAGUACGCCGGCAACGGUGAAACUCAAAGGAAUUGACGGGGGCCCGCACAAGCGGAGGAACAUGUGGUUUAAUUCGAUGAUACGCGAGGAACCUUACCCGGGCUUGAACUGCCAGCGAACGAUUCAGAGAUGAUGAGGUCCUUCGGGACGCUGGUGGAGGUGCUGCAUGGUUGUCGUCAGCUCGUGCCGUGAGGUGUCGGCUUAAGUGCCAUAACGAGCGCAACCCUUUUCUUUAGUUGCCAUCAGGUAAUGCUGGGCACUCUGGAGAUACUGCCACCGUAAGGUGUGAGGAAGGUGGGGAUGACGUCAAAUCAGCACGGCCCUUACGUCCGGGGCUACACACGUGUUACAAUGGGGGGUACAGAGAGUCGGAUAUACGCAAGUAUGUUCUAAUCCUUAAAGCCUUCCUCAGUUCGGAUUGGGGUCUGCAACCCGACCCCAUGAAGCUGGAUUCGCUAGUAAUCGCGCAUCAGCCAUGGCGCGGUGAAUACGUUCCCGGGCCUUGUACACACCGCCCGUCAAGCCAUGAAAGCCGGGGGCGCUUGAAGUCCGUGACCGCAAGGAUCGGCCUAGAGCGAAACUGGUAAUUGGGGCUAAGUCGUAACAAGGUAGCCGUA
Molecule: ribosomal RNA, 761 nt
Filed under: uncultured bacterium
Lineage: Bacteria
Description: bacterial SSU rRNA
Rfam family: Bacterial small subunit ribosomal RNA
Source: RNAcentral